Molecule: ribosomal RNA, 279 nt
Filed under: uncultured bacterium
Lineage: Bacteria
Description: partial 16S ribosomal RNA
Rfam family: Bacterial small subunit ribosomal RNA
Source: RNAcentral
GAUGAACGCUGGCGGCGUGCUUAACACAUGCAAGUCGAACGAGAUCCUUCGGGAUUUAGUGGCGGACGGGUGAGUAACGCGUGAGGAUCUGCCUAAAGGACCGGGACAACAGCGGGAAACUGCUGCUAAAACCGGAUGUGCCGAGAGGUGAAAUAUUAAUAGCCUUUAGAUGAGCUCGCGUCUGAUUAGCUAGUUGGUGGUGUAAGGGACUACCAAGGCGACGAUCAGUAGCUGGUCUGAGAGGACGAUCAGCCACACUGGGACUGAGACACGGCCCAG